RNAcentral lists this small RNA (559 nucleotides) under Pongo abelii (Sumatran orangutan). Its description in RNAcentral is "processed transcript". Lineage: Eukaryota; Metazoa; Chordata; Mammalia; Primates; Hominidae. The record is from RNAcentral.
CUCAUUGCGUUAUAAAACUCUGGGUGGUAAAAGAUUAUAGGCUUAGACCAGUGUCUUUGGAUUCUAAUGCCGGCUGCUCUCCAUAGUCCAUCUGAUUCCCCAGAAGUCAGUUAUAGCUCAUUGCAAACCUUGGUGACUUCUUAUUUUCUUUCUUGUUUAUCCAAGAUUAGCUGGCUGGUGUUUGGUUGUUCUGGAGUGAUCUUCUGACUGGAAAAGAACUAUGUCAUGGAUCAAGGAAGGAGAACUGUCACUUUGGGAGCGGUUCUGUGCCAACAUCAUAAAGGCAGGCCCAAUGCCAAAACACAUUGCAUUCAUAAUGGAUGGGAACCGUCGCUAUGCCAAGAAGUGCCAGGUGGAGCGGCAGGAAGGCCACUCACAGGGCUUCAACAAGCUAGCUGAGACUCUGCGGUGGUGUUUGAACCUGGGCAUCCUAGAGGUGACGGUCUACGCAUUCAGCAUUGAGAACUUCAAACGCUCCAAGAGUGAGGUAGACGGGCUUAUGGAUCUGGCCCGGCAGAAGUUCAGCCGCUUGAUGGAAGAACAGUAAGAUGCUAUCAGA